Oncorhynchus keta (chum salmon) is the source of this 1014-nucleotide long non-coding RNA. RefSeq lists it as uncharacterized. The record is from RefSeq and is a predicted model, not a curated record. The transcript has 3 exons. NCBI's taxonomy places the organism in Eukaryota, Metazoa, Chordata, Actinopteri, Salmoniformes, Salmonidae.
GGUUGAUUAUCUCUGGUGUUGUUCUAUCCACAGGACAGGGCUUAGAGGUUGAUUAUCUCUGGUGUUGUUCUAUCCACAGGACAGGGCUUAGAGGUUGAUUAUUAUCUGGUGUUGUUCUAUCCACAGGACAGGGCUUAGAGGUUGAUUAUUAUCUGGUGUUGUUCUAUCCACAGGACAGGGCUUAGAGGUUGAUUAUCUCUGGUGUUGUUCUAUCCACAGGACAGGGCUUAGGGGUUGAUUAUCUCUGGUGUUGUUCUAUCCACAGGACAGGGCUUAGAGGUUGAUUAUUAUCUGGUGUUGUUCUAUCCACAGGACAGGGCUUAGAGGUUGAUUAUCUCUGGUGUUGUUCUAUCCACAGGACAGGGCUUAGGGGUUGAUUAUCUCUGGUGUUGUUCUAUCCACAGGACAGGGCUUAGAGGUUGAUUAUUAUCUGGUGUUGUUCUAUCCACAGGACAGGGCUUAGAGGUUGAUUAUCUCUGGUGUUGUUCUAUCCACAGGACAGGGCUUAGGGGUUGAUUAUCUCUGGUGUUGUUCUAUCCACAGGACAGGGCUUAGAGGUUGAUUAUUAUCUGGUGUUGUUCUAUCCACAGGACAGGGCUUAGAGGUUGAUUAUCUCUGGUGUUGUUCUAUCCACAGGACAGGGCUUAGGGGUUGAUUAUCUCUGGUGUUGUUCUAUCCACAGGACAGGGCUUAGGGGUUGAUUAUCUCUGGUGUUGUUCUAUCCACAGGACAGGGCUUAGGGGUUGAUUAUCUCUGGUGUUGUUCUAUCCACAGGACAGGGCUUAGAGGUUGAUUAUUAUCUGGUGUUGUUCUAUCCACAGGACAGGGCUUAGGGGUUGAUUAUCUCUGGUGUUGUUCUAUCCACAGGACAGGGCUUAGGGGUUGAUUAUCUCUGGUGUUGUUCUAUCCACAGGACAGGGCUUAGAGGUUGAUUAUUAUCUGGUGUUGUUCUAUCCACAGGACAGGGCUUAGGGGUUGAUUAUCUCUGGUGUUGUUCUAUCCACAGGACAGGGC